This 509-nucleotide ribosomal RNA is filed under the name Bipolaris sp. FSU9290. RNAcentral describes it as "eukaryotic LSU rRNA". The stretch from base 173 to 326 matches the Rfam family "5.8S ribosomal RNA". Lineage: Eukaryota; Fungi; Ascomycota; Dothideomycetes; Pleosporales; Pleosporaceae. The record is from RNAcentral.
GGGAUCAUUACACAAUAAAAUACGAAGGCCGUUCGCGGCUGGACUAUUUAUUACCCUUGUCUUUUGCGCACUUGUUGUUUCCUGGGCGGGUUCGCUCGCCACCAGGACCACAAUAUAAACCUUUUUUAUGCAGUUGCAAUCAGCGUCAGUAUAACAAAUGUAAAUCAUUUACAACUUUCAACAACGGAUCUCUUGGUUCUGGCAUCGAUGAAGAACGCAGCGAAAUGCGAUACGUAGUGUGAAUUGCAGAAUUCAGUGAAUCAUCGAAUCUUUGAACGCACAUUGCGCCCUUUGGUAUUCCAAAGGGCAUGCCUGUUCGAGCGUCAUUUGUACCCUCAAGCUUUGCUUGGUGUUGGGCGUUUUUGUCUUUGGCCCGCCAAAGACUCGCCUUAAAAUGAUUGGCAGCCGGCCUACUGGUUUCGCAGCGCAGCACAUUUUUGCGCUUGCAAUCAGCAAAAGAGGACGGCAAUCCAUCAAGACUCCUUCUCACGUUUGACCUCGGAUCAGGU